This 136-nucleotide unclassified non-coding RNA is filed under the name uncultured Ascomycota. Its description in RNAcentral is "sequence contains ITS1". The record is from RNAcentral. Lineage: Eukaryota; Fungi; Ascomycota. RNAcentral also lists the same sequence under 1 other name.
AAGAGUUGCAAAACUCCCACAAACCAUCGCGAACGUUACCCAGACGUCGUUGCUUCGGCGGGCUCGCCCGCCGGGGGGACGCUACCAGACUCUUGCAGUUCUUCGGCCUCUCUGAGUACGAUUUUUAAAUAAGUCA